AUUGAACGCUGGCGGCAGGCCUAACACAUGCAAGUCGAGCGGAUGAAGGGAGCUUGCUCCUGGAUUCAGCGGCGGACGGGUGAGUAAUGCCUAGGAAUCUGCCUGGUAGUGGGGGAUAACGUCCGGAAACGGGCGCUAAUACCGCAUACGUCCUGAGGGAGAAAGUGGGGGAUCUUCGGACCUCACGCUAUCAGAUGAGCCUAGGUCGGAUUAGCUAGUUGGUGGGGUAAAGGCCUACCAAGGCGACGAUCCGUAACUGGUCUGUGAGGAUGAUCAGUCACACUGGAACUGAGACACGGUCCAGACUACUACGGGAGGCAGCAGUGGGGAAUAUUGGACAAUGGGCGAAAGCCUGAUCCAGCCAUGCCGCGUGUGUGAAGAAGGUCUUCGGAUUGUAAAGCACUUUAAGUUGGGAGGAAGGGCAGUAAGUUAAUACCUUGCUGUUUUGACGUUACCAACAGAAUAAGCACCGGCUAACUUCGUG
This 484-nucleotide ribosomal RNA is filed under the name uncultured bacterium. RNAcentral describes it as "partial 16S ribosomal RNA". It matches the Rfam family "Bacterial small subunit ribosomal RNA", at positions 30 to 507 of the family's 1533-position model. The record is from RNAcentral.